RNAcentral lists this ribosomal RNA (438 nucleotides) under uncultured Nitrospira sp. RNAcentral's name for it is "bacterial SSU rRNA". It matches the Rfam family "Bacterial small subunit ribosomal RNA", at positions 355 to 792 of the family's 1533-position model. Lineage: Bacteria; Pseudomonadati; Nitrospirota; Nitrospiria; Nitrospirales; Nitrospiraceae. The record is from RNAcentral.
UAAGGAAUAUUGCGCAAUGGGCGAAAGCCUGACGCAGCGACGCCGCGUGGGGGAUGAAGGUCUUCGGAUUGUAAACCCCUUUCGGGAGGGAAGAUGGGAUAGGGUAACCUAUCCGGACGGUACCUCCAGAAGCAGCCACGGCUAACUUCGUGCCAGCAGCCGCGGUAAUACGAAGGUGGCAAGCGUUGUUCGGAUUUACUGGGCGUACAGGGAGCGUAGGCGGUUGGAUAAGCCCUCCGUGAAAUCUCCAGGCUUAACCUGGAAAGUGCAGAGGGGACUGUUCAGCUAGAGGAUGGGAGAGGAGCGCGGAAUUCCCGGUGUAGCGGUGAAAUGCGUAGAGAUCGGGAGGAAGGCCGGUGGCGAAGGCGGCGCUCUGGAACAUUUCUGACGCUGAGGCUCGAAAGCGUGGGGAGCAAACAGGAUUAGAUGCACCCAAUC